AGGACGAACGCUGGCGGCGUGCCUAACACAUGCAAGUCGAGCGAGGAGAUCCUUCGGGAUGAUCCUAGCGGCGGACGGGUGAGUAACACGUGGGCAACCUGCCUCAUAGAGAGGAAUAGCCUUCCGAAAGGGAGAUUAAUACCUCAUAACAUUGCAGUUUCGCAUGGAACAGCAAUUAAAGGAGUAAUCCGCUAUGAGAUGGGCCCGCGGCGCAUUAGCUAGUUGGUGAGGUAACGGCUCACCAAGGCGACGAUGCGUAGCCGACCUGAGAGGGUGAUCGGCCACAUUGGGACUGAGACACGGCCCAGACUCCUACGGGAGGCAGCAGUGGGGAAUAUUGCACAAUGGGGGAAACCCUGAUGCAAGCAACGCCGCGUGAGUGAUGACGGCCUUCGGGUUGUAAAGCUCUGUCUUCAGGGACGAUAAUGACGGUACCUGGGGAGGAAGCCACGGCUAACUACGUGCCAGCAGCAGC
This 475-nucleotide ribosomal RNA is filed under the name uncultured bacterium. RNAcentral's name for it is "bacterial SSU rRNA". It matches the Rfam family "Bacterial small subunit ribosomal RNA", at positions 26 to 518 of the family's 1533-position model. The record is from RNAcentral.